Molecule: long non-coding RNA, 660 nt
Organism: Homo sapiens (human)
Lineage: Eukaryota; Metazoa; Chordata; Mammalia; Primates; Hominidae
Gene: DAB1-AS1
Product: DAB1 antisense RNA 1
Source: Ensembl
ACCCACCAAUUCAUCAGCCAACCUGUCCUCUUCAACUGUGCAGGGAAAGAGAAUAUAGGCAACCAUAACACAUCUGGAUAGUACCUUCUUAGGAACUCCUGUUGCAUCUUUACUCAGUUUAGUAGCCAUAUAAAUAACGAUGUCCCCAGAAGGAUAAAAAAAGGAGGCAGCUGAGGAGAAAAACAAAACUCCCACUGGAAGAAACACGAUGAUAUGAAAAAGCCAGAUGUAUCAGGUGUGACAAUCUUGUGCACAGUACCUGGCACACAUAUGUGUUCAUCACGUAAGGUGAUUGUUGUGAUGAUCUGUUGAGGCUGGCUUCAGACAGAACUGGGAAAAUGAUUCAGGACUUCAUGUUGAAGCAGCAGGGUGUGAAGUCACAGCGUCUCGGGCUGCAUUUCCUUUUUUUCUGAUUCUGUAGCGUUGCGCAGUGUCACAGCCCGAGUGCCCUCUCACCCAGACACAUCUGACGUUGACAUGCAGGCUGGACAUACAGUGGGCCUCGAUUGCUUAGAAGCCAAACUGAACUCACCAAGAAAAGAAGACAGGAGAAACUUCUCAAGAGGAAUAUCUCCAAAUUGCAGGAUCGAAUACCAUAAGAGGAAUUCUGGACUGAAGAGUUAUGAAGUCAUUUCAGACACUUCCAGACAAUUUGUGUUA